UAAGUGGAGAGUUUGAUCCUGGCUCAGAGCGAACGUUAGCGGCGGGCCUAACACAUGCAAGUCGAACGAGAAAGCCCUUCGGGGUGAGUAAAGUGGCGAACGGGUGAGUAACGCGUAGGUAAUCUGCCCUUCGGUGGGGGAUAACAUCCCGAAAGGGGUGCUAAUACCGCAUAAGACCACGGUCUCUUCGGAGGCUGAGGGAAAAGGUGGCGAUCCGCAAGGAGCUAUCGCCGGAGGAUGAGCCUGCGUCCCAUCAGCUAGUUGGUAGGGUAAUGGCCUACCAAGGCGAAGACGGGUAGCUGGUCUGAGAGGAUGAUCAGCCACACUGGCACUGAAACACGGGCCAGACUCCUACGGGAGGCAGCAGUGAGGAAUAUUGGGCAAUGGGCGCAAGCCUGACCCAGCCACGCCGCGUGAGUGAUGAAGGCCUUCGGGUUGUAAAGCUCUGUGGGGAGGGAAGAA
Molecule: ribosomal RNA, 462 nt
Filed under: Sandaracinaceae bacterium
Lineage: Bacteria; Pseudomonadati; Myxococcota; Polyangiales; Sandaracinaceae
Description: bacterial SSU rRNA
Rfam family: Bacterial small subunit ribosomal RNA
Source: RNAcentral